Molecule: transfer RNA, 73 nt
Filed under: Trichonephila inaurata madagascariensis
Lineage: Eukaryota; Metazoa; Arthropoda; Arachnida; Araneae; Nephilidae
Rfam family: tRNA
About the family: Transfer RNA (tRNA) molecules are approximately 80 nucleotides in length. Their secondary structure includes four short double-helical elements and three loops (D, anti-codon, and T loops).
Source: Rfam by way of RNAcentral
GUCCCUGUAGUGCAAUGGAUUGUGCGUUGGACUUGUAAUCCAAAGGUCGUGGGUUCGAAUUCCACCUGGGAUG